AGUGAACGCUAGCGGUAGGCCUAACACAUGCAAGUCGAACGGCAGCACAGUAAGAGCUUGCUCUUACGGGUGGCGAGUGGCGGACGGGUGAGGAAUACAUCGGAAUCUACUUUUUCGUGGGGGAUAACGUAGGGAAACUUACGCUAAUACCGCAUACGACCUACGGGUGAAAGCAGGGGAUCUUCGGACCUUGCGCGAUUGAAUGAGACGAUGUCGGAUUAGCUAGUUGGCGGGGUAAAGGCCCACCAAGGCGACGAUCCGUAGCUGGUCUGAGAGGAUGAUCAGCCACACUGGAACUGAGACACGGUCCAGACUCCUACGGGAGGCAGCAGUGGGGAAUAUUGCACAAUGAGCGCAAGCCUGAUCCAGCCAUACCGCGUGGGUGAAGAAGGCCUUCGGGUUGUAAAGCCCUUUUGUUGGGAAAGAAAAGCAGCAGGUUAAUACCCCGCUGUUCUGACGGUACCCAAAGAAUAAGCACCGGCUAACUUCGUG
This 492-nucleotide ribosomal RNA is filed under the name uncultured bacterium. RNAcentral describes it as "partial 16S ribosomal RNA". It matches the Rfam family "Bacterial small subunit ribosomal RNA", at positions 29 to 507 of the family's 1533-position model. The record is from RNAcentral.